UGGGGAAUAUUGGACAAUGGGCGAAAGCCUGAUCCAGCCAUGCCGCGUGUGUGAAGAAGGUCUUCGGAUUGUAAAGCACUUUAAGUUGGGAGGAAGGGCAGUAAGCGAAUACCUUGCUGUUCUGACGUUACCGACAGAAUAAGCACCGGCUAACUCUGUGCCAGCAGCCGCGGUUAUACAGAGGGUGCAAGCGUUAAUCGGAAUUACUGGGCGUAAAGCGCGCGUAGGUGGUUCGUUAAGUUGAAUGUGAAAGCCCCGGGCUCAACCUGGGAACUGCCUCCAAAACUGGCGAGCUAGAGUAGGGCAGAGGGUGGUGGAAUUUCCUGUGUAGCGGUGAAAUGCGUGGAUAUAGGAAGGAAAACCAGUGGCGAAGGCGACCACCUGGGCUAAUACUGACACUGAGGUGCGAAAGCGUGGGGAGCAAACAGG
RNAcentral lists this ribosomal RNA (429 nucleotides) under Pseudomonadota bacterium. RNAcentral's name for it is "Proteobacteria bacterium partial 16S ribosomal RNA". It matches the Rfam family "Bacterial small subunit ribosomal RNA", at positions 355 to 776 of the family's 1533-position model. Lineage: Bacteria; Pseudomonadati; Pseudomonadota. The record is from RNAcentral.